AUUGAACGCUGGCGGCAGGCUUAACACAUGCAAGUCGAGCGGAGAUGAGGUGCUUGCACCUUAUCUUAGCGGCGGACGGGUGGGUAAUGCUUAGGAAUCUGCCUAUUAGUGGGGGACAACAUUCCGAAAGGAAUGCUAAUACCGCAUACGUCCUACGGGAGAAAGCAGGGGAUCUUCGGACCUUGCGCUAAUAGAUGAGCCUAAGUCGGAUUAGCUAGUUGGUGGGGUAAAGGCCUACCAAGGCGACGAUCUGUAGCGGGUCUGAGAGGAUGAUCCGCCACACGUGGACCGGGACACGGCCCAGACUCCUACGGGAGGCAGCAGUGGGGAAUAUUGGACAAUGGGGGGAACCCUGAUCCAGCCAUGCCGCGUGUGUGAAGAAGGCCUUAUGGUUGUAAAGCACUUUAAGCGAGGAGGAGGCUACUGAGACUAAUACUCUUGGAUAGUGGACGUUACUCGCAGAAUAAGCACCGGCUAACUCUGUGCCAGCCGCCGCCGUAA
RNAcentral lists this ribosomal RNA (501 nucleotides) under uncultured bacterium. RNAcentral describes it as "partial 16S ribosomal RNA". It matches the Rfam family "Bacterial small subunit ribosomal RNA", at positions 30 to 523 of the family's 1533-position model. The record is from RNAcentral.